GGGUGAGCCAGAGGGACUGACGGGUCCCCCUAGCUCCGCGGGAGGACCUGACCCGAGCCGUGGGGGGCAGGCGGGCGAGCCAGAUCGACUGACGGGUUCCCCCCUAGCUCCGCGGGAGGGCUUGACCCGAGCCGUGGGGGGCUGGCGGGCGAGCCAGAUCGACUGACGGGUUCCUCCCCAGUUCCGCGGGAGGGCCUGACCCGAGCCGUGGGGGGCAGGUGGGCGAGCAAGACGGACUGACGGUUACCGCCCCCCAGCUCCGCGGGAGGGCCUGACCCGAGCCGCGGUGGGCAAGGGGC
Gopherus flavomarginatus (Mexican gopher tortoise) is the source of this 299-nucleotide long non-coding RNA. RefSeq lists it as uncharacterized. Lineage: Eukaryota; Metazoa; Chordata; Testudines; Testudinidae. The transcript is spliced from 3 exons. The record is from RefSeq and is a predicted model, not a curated record.